AUCUUUAUCAACCAUGUCAAAGAAGGUCUGAAGUCGAGUAUCAAAACUUUGAUCUGCAACUUGGUCCCAGAACUCUUUGAGUUGUGCUUUGUUAAUGGAAUCAGUUGUGAUGUUUCUCCUUCGAGCAAGCGCAUCAUAUAGCUCUCCAGCAAAUUCCUUAGACUCCUUAUUCAUACCUAUGCAUUCUCCAAAUUUGGCCCGAGGAAGCAAGCCAGUAGUUGAAGCAGUAAUCUCAUCGAACCGCUUCUCGACGGCGGCCCAUCCAGCGCCGCCGUCAGUUUUGCUGAUGAACUUAAGACCUUUAAGAGCAUGAGCAGCAGCUGAUUUAUUCCUGUCGAACCUUCCAGUAGGAAUUGGGCGCUUAUUUAAGGAAGCCAAUCGCUUGAGCUCUUGAGACACUUGCCGGAUUCUCGAAGAAGCAUUUCGUACAAGUGAAGCUCCCAAGGUAGAUUUCUUCUCCAAACCUUUAGCCAAUAAAGCCAACUCCGGAUCUUCCACGUCAGCACCGCCGGCAGUUUUCACACUGUGGACAGCCACAGAGUCUUCACGAACAUCGAGAGUGAUUUCCACAUAAGCAUCGUCAUUGGACUUGGCGCCGGCUCCUGCACUAGUUCCGAUGUCAGUAGAUUCCGGUAUAUUAAACCUCGCGCUCUUUUUUCCUCCUCGUUUGUUCAGCGGUCCGCUUAAAGGACCACUGUACGACGCUCUAUCAUUCCCUAUAACCUCCGUAUCCGAGUGAUGAUGGUGAUGGUGUGGGUGAUGAUUUUCCGAAUUUUGCAUCGCUACAAUAGUUUCUUCGUGGAAAAAUGAAAUGAAUGAAUG
Molecule: unclassified non-coding RNA, 822 nt
Filed under: Hevea brasiliensis (rubber tree)
Lineage: Eukaryota; Viridiplantae; Streptophyta; Magnoliopsida; Malpighiales; Euphorbiaceae
Source: RNAcentral